CCUCGGAAUCCAGAAGAUGGGUUGUAGAUGCUAGCUGGUAUGAAUAGGGAUUUGGUCCUUGUUCGGCAUCUAUAGCCAGUGAAAUCCCUGAGCAGUGUGCUCACUUGGUAACGUGCAGACUCUUUUCAGGGAGGUCGAUAAGCGUUACCGAUCUCUCUUUCGAGAGAUUGAGCUUAAUUCGAGCAGCUACGCUCAGCACUGUAGUUUUAUUGCUGGCUAACGCUUUGCCUGUGCAUAGCAGCCUUAAUGACCGUAGCUUUAUUGGCGGCAGUAAAACAAAUCUUUUUGAGCAGAUAAUUUAGUAUACUUUCACGUUAGUGAAUAACUUAUCAGCUUAUGUGUUGGAUCGGUUGAUUCGUAGAUCGAUAAAAACGCAGCUAGCUGCGUUAUAUACCACGAAUUGCUUAAAAAUUGAGUGGUAAAAUUUUGAACGCAUAGCGCCACAGGGUUUACUCUGUGGCACGCCUGGUUCAGGGUUGUAUUAUCUACUACCGAAUGCCUGAUUCGGUUAGUCGAGCGGCUAUCUAUUCACGUAGAUACCCGUUCUAGUUCAGAAUUGAUCGCAACGUUUCUAUUUCUAUAGAUACGGAAGGCGUGAGUGAACACGACCACUGCAUUCGAAGCAGCUUGAUUGAGCUAAUGCUUUGAACGCACGCUAGUAAAGUGGUGAGUUUGCUCUAAUGCUUUGCAUUUGCAACCUGAGCUCAGACGUGAUUACCCGCUGAACUUAAAGCAUAU
RNAcentral lists this ribosomal RNA (738 nucleotides) under Heterorhabditis sp. H1. RNAcentral's name for it is "eukaryotic LSU rRNA". The stretch from base 331 to 479 matches the Rfam family "5.8S ribosomal RNA". Lineage: Eukaryota; Metazoa; Nematoda; Chromadorea; Rhabditida; Heterorhabditidae. The record is from RNAcentral.